This 1763-nucleotide ribosomal RNA is filed under the name Triticum aestivum (bread wheat). RNAcentral describes it as "partial small subunit ribosomal RNA". The record is from RNAcentral. Lineage: Eukaryota; Viridiplantae; Streptophyta; Magnoliopsida; Poales; Poaceae.
UGGCCUCGACGAUAGGACCUGAGAGGAUGGAUUAGCUAGGGGAAAAGGAGGAAGGGGAUGGACGAGAGAAGGAGGAGGAAGGAGAGAGCUAGAUCCGGGCAAUGUGCCACAGGGAGCACGCCGUCUAGCGUUCCUCUAAGCCGGUUCGGUGGAUCUAAGCACGUCCGCGUUGUGGACGUAAGCGCACGAGCUCGUCGACGAAGGCUAGCUCCGCGGGGUGCGAGCUCUUAGGAGAGGUUGAUUUUACCGCGGUCGGAGACUAGGAUCGCAUGCGUAGAUAGCUGAUUGCCGCCGUACGUGCUGCCGCGUGACGAGUCGAGAUAACGGAAGUAGGCGUACGCCCCUAGUCCGCGGGACGUCCACAAGCCAUUUAAAGGGGUGACCCUUCUAACACGGCGACCGCAGCCUAAGUCCCCUGUGGGUUCUCGAUAGUGUGGAAAGAGAAGUAGUACACACCUACAGACGUGGUCCGCCGUGGAAAGAGAAGUAGUACACACCUACAGACGUAGUCCGCCGUGGAAAGAGAAGUAGAUACACACCUACAGACGUAGCUCGUCCGUGCUCUGAAGACCGAUCUAAAGGACCGGUGCGGGUAGAAACCAUUACGGAUUAGCGGAGACCAUUACUAAAUAAUCCACAGGAUUGGAGAUAUUAGUGAACGUAAUUCGGGAUAAUAAACACAGAUUGUGCGGGCACCGACGGCAUAAUAGUGUAUGGCCGGUGUGAACGUGGUUACGAAAAGACGUCACACUGUAGUCCCCGGUGCUAGCGGUAAGACGGCGUACAUAUUUAGGACACGCCCGCGCACUAAAGAAAGGGUUCCGACUCGUCUGUGCGCGCUGGUUCGAUAUCCCACUAGCUAGAUGUGCUGGACUGCUACCCUCACCACUACCGCCGCGAGACCCUGUAGGACCGCUUCCGGCGGUUACACCGCGUCUACAGGCCGGACGUGCGGCGGUACGACCAGCGGCACCCGUACUCGGAGAACGCGUAGGGCGUCUCGUGCGCCCUCACGCGGUUCGAGCUCGCCACGUCGGCGUCCGAGGUGCGCGACGACGUCACCGGCUGCCCGACGCCCCGGCGCCACGACACGAGCCUCUACCCUCCGGGGCAAGAUUUCAGCGACCAGCUGCGCCGGCCUGAGCAGCGGAGGAUGUUCUUCUCGUGCGAGACCGUGGCGCAGGCCUCCCCGUUCCCGUACCGGCGGGUCGAGGCCCUGUACGUCCUGCAGCAGCUGAGGAUGACGCCCGAGGACGAGAUGCAGUUGCGCGUAGAGGACGAUGUCGGCCGCUGAGUAGCAGGGGGCAGUCUACGAUGAUGCAUGCCCCAAUUCCUCCGCUUACUCUUACUGGGUAGUGUCUCAGCUUCACACGAUGUUCGUCAUUGGUUAUCGGGCCCUCAAUUUCUUUGAGCACCGUGAGUUUACGGGUUACUACUACCGCUCCCCCCUUGUCCGUCGGCCUGUCUGCUGUGGCCAGAUCGUCCUGCACUUUCUUCGCACUGACGAAUUAAUCACUAAAGGGUACUCAGGUACUGGUGUCCUCAUCUGACUAGGGUUGUCCGAUUUCACUUAAGAGUCACGAACGAAAAGGUAAACGAUGCUGUCACUUAUUACGUGGCAGACAUUUAUACACAUACAUUCGAACCUUCUAAACAAAAAAAAUCUCGAAAGAACCGCUCGAAAUAAAUAAUCGCUAUUGUGAAUGUAUCAGAUGAUCGAACUUUCUUGAUUUAAGCCGCUCAGAUGAACGAUUUUCAAACCG